UACGGAGGGGGCGAGCGUUAUUCGGAAUUAUUGGGCGUAAAGGGCGCGUAGGCGGCUUGGCAAGUCAAAGGUGAAAUCCCUCGGCUCAACUGAGGAACUGCCUUUGAUACUGAAGAUCUUGAGUUCGGGAGAGGUGAGUGGAACUGCGAGUGUAGAGGUGAAAUUCGUAGAUAUUCGCAAGAACACCAGUGGCGAAGGCGGCUCACUGGCCCGAUACUGACGCUGAGGCACGAAAGCGUGGGGAGCAAACAGG
Molecule: ribosomal RNA, 253 nt
Filed under: uncultured bacterium
Lineage: Bacteria
Description: partial 16S ribosomal RNA
Rfam family: Bacterial small subunit ribosomal RNA
Source: RNAcentral